UGCAGUCGACGAGGCAGCGGCCUUCGGGCCGUUGUCGAGUGGCGAACGGGUGAGUAACACGUGAGGAACCUGCCCCGGAGACCGGGAUAACCAGGGGAAACUCUGGCUAAUACCGGAUGCCCUCGGAUGGUCGCAUGGCCAACCGAGGAAACGCUCCGGUGCUCCGGGAGGGCCUCGCGGCCUAUCAGCUUGUUGGUGGGGUAACGGCCUACCAAGGCAUCGACGGGUAGCUGGUCUGAGAGGACGAUCAGCCACACUGGGACUGAGACACGGCCCAGACUCCUACGGGAGGCAGCAGUGGGGAAUAUUGCGCAAUGGGCGAAAGCCUGACGCAGCAACGCCGCGUGGGGGAUGACGGCCUUCGGGUUGUAAACCCCUUUCAGCAGGGACGAAAAUGACGGUACCUGCAGAAGAAGCCCCGGCCAACUACGUGCCAGCAGCCGCGGUAACACGUAGGGGGCAAGCGUUGUCCGGAUUUAUUGGGCGUAAAGAGCUCGUAGGCGGUUGCGUAAGUCGGAUGUGAAAACUCAGGGCUCAACCCGGAGACGCCAUCCGAUACUGCGCUGACUAGAGUCCGGUAGAGGAGCAUGGAAUUCCUGGUGUAGCGGUGAAAUGCGCAGAUAUCAGGAGGAACACCAGUGGCGAAGCGGUGCUCUGGGCCGGUACUGACGCUGAGGAGCGAAAGCGUGGUAGCGAACAGGAUUAGAUACCCUGGUAGUCCACGCCGUAAACGUUGGGCACUAGUGUGGGGCCUCCUUAACGGGUUCCGUGCCGUAGCUAACGCAUUAAGUGCGCUGGGGAGUACGGCCGCAAGGCUAAA
RNAcentral lists this ribosomal RNA (820 nucleotides) under uncultured bacterium. RNAcentral describes it as "bacterial SSU rRNA". It matches the Rfam family "Bacterial small subunit ribosomal RNA", at positions 56 to 898 of the family's 1533-position model. The record is from RNAcentral.